UGCUGGUGCGGCCCUAGAAAAGGCAAAAAAACCAAAAAAAAAAAAAAAAGCAUUAAUUAUGCUGUACACCUUAAACUUAUACUGUAAGUAUGCUGUAUGUCAAUUAUAUGUCAAAAUAGGAAUAAAAAAAUAACCUUGAGAAGUGUUGUACAUUCAAUUAAAAUAUUUGCUUAUUUACUAUAUGCAAAGUACUAGAGCAGACACGACAAAGACACAGGACUUGCACAAUGGAGCUCAUGGUCUCAUGGGCUAGACAGUCUCACAUGCCCAAAUUGCCUAAUCAACAUAAAUGCUUAAGUGUACAAUAUUUGCCUCUAACUAUAGGCUAGUGAACUCCUGAUUCCCUGCCCCCAACCGUUAUCUAACUACAUAUACAAAACAUGCUCUAAUCACAGUUUUCCCAACAUCAACAAAUGGCAACUCCAUUUUUCCAGCUGUUCUGGACAAAAACCUUGGUGUCAUCCUUGUUUUCCCUAACAAUCUAUAUCCAAUUCAUCCUGUUGUCUCUAUCUUCUAAAAUGAACUCAGAACAUGCACUUCUCACUGACUCUGCUGCUAUGAUUACUACAGUAGCAUCAUAACUAAUCUCCCAGCUUCUGCCUGACACUAUAUUUCCAAAAGUCUAUUCUCAACACAGAAGCUUGAUCAUCCUCAGGGAAGGUCCUAGCUGGAGAUGAUUAGGUAGAGAGAUACAUUAGAUAAUGAUGAACAAGAAAUAGAAGGAAAAGGAAGAGAGAGGAAGGAAGGGGGGAAGGAGGGAAGGAGGCAGCUGAUCAUUAGAUUUAACAAUGCAGAGAGCAUUCAUGGCCUCAAAAAGAAGAGACUCAGGAGAGAGACAGAGGUAAAGGCAUGUCUGGAGUGGAUUGGAGAGGCGGAAAGUGAGCAAUUGGUGAUGGCAAGUGUAAUCAACUGCUUUAGGGAGUUUUGUUCCACGGAGGUGCAUAAAAAUGAAAAGAUGACAUCAAGAGAGUUUUUUAAAGGUAGGAGAUAUAGCAUGUUAGAUCUUUUUGUUUGUUCUGUUUUUUUUUUCUUUUUCCUUUGCUUUUUAGGGCUGCACCUACAGCACAUGGAGGAUCCCAGGCUAGUGGUCAAACAGGAGUUGCAGCAGCCAGCCUAUACCACAGCUAUAGCCACUCAGGAUCCAAGCUGCAUCUUUCACCUAGCCACAGCUCACAACAAUGCCGGAUCCUUAACCCACUGACCGGGGCCCAGGAUCAAACCUCAUGGAUACUAGUUGGGCAUGUUACGACUGAGGCAUGACGGGAACUCCAGCAUGUUGGAUCUUGAUGGAAAGAUCUACUCUAUAGAAAUAAACUGAUAAUGCAAGAGAGAAAGGGAGAACUGCUAGAUAAAUGCUAUGGUGCAAAAGUAACAAAAUAGAAAUGAGUCCUCAGGUUAAAGGGUUGGCCUUGGCCAUAAGCACAGAUGCUCACCUGGUGGUUAAGUUGAGAGAAGAUAACAGUAAUGAUGAGGGACUUUGUGCAUCAUGUAUCAUGUAGAACGUUUUCCCUAAAAUUAAGAGAGAGAUAUAUCAAACAAAAUGAUACAAAAGAACUUAUUUAUAAAACAGAAACAAACACAGAUUUCAAAAUCAAUCUUAUGGUUACUAAAGGUGAAACCAUAGAGGGAAGCGAGGAAUUGAAAAGGUGGGAAUAACAUACACACUACAGUAACAAAAAAGGUGAUUAAUAAGAAUCUACUAUAUAGCACAGGAAAAUCUACUCAAUAGUGUGUAAUAACCUACAUGAGAAAAAAGAUUGGGUAUAUUUAUAUGUAUAACUGAUUCAUUUUGAUGUACACCUGAAACUAAUACAACAUUGUAAGUUAACUAUACUUCAAAAAAAUUCUAAAAAAGAGAGAACAGGACAAACACCUAAAGGGCUGAAUGAGGAACAGGGAAGAACUAGUUCCCGUCAUGGCGCAGUGGUUAACGAAUCCGACUAGGAACCAUGAGGUUGCGAGAUCGGUCCCUGCCCUUGCUCAGUGGGUUAACGAACCGGCGUUGCCGUGAGCUGUGGUGUAGGUUGCAGACGCGGCUCGGAUCCCACAUUGCUGUGGCUCUGGCGUAGGCCGGUGGCUACAGCUCGAAUUCAACGCCUAGCCUGGGAACCUCCAUGUGCCGUGGGAGCGGCCCAAGAAAUAGCAACAACAACAACAACGAC
This 2162-nucleotide long non-coding RNA is filed under the name Sus scrofa (pig). RNAcentral's name for it is "lncRNA (ENSSSCG00055018607.1)". Lineage: Eukaryota; Metazoa; Chordata; Mammalia; Artiodactyla; Suidae. The record is from RNAcentral.